AAGUUGAAAAGAACUUUGAAGAGAGAGUUCAAGAGUACGUGAAACCGUUCAGGGGUAAACCUGAGAAACCCAAAAGAUCGAAUGGAGAGAUUCAACGUCGACGUGGUUGAUUGCCGUGUGACGUGCGAUAUUCGCGGCCUCGGCCGCGAGUACGCCGUUGCUGCGGUUCAUCAUCUGCCACGUAAGCGUGCACUUCUCUCCUAGUAGGACGUCGCAACCCGUUGGGUGUCGGUCUACGGCUCGCAAGGUUGUCUGUUGCUUGGGCGUUUACGCGUCUCUCGUGGCAGACCUGCGAAUGCCCGGCCGACUGCCCGGCGGUAUUGAAAGCAUGAUAGGUACUUGGCCGCAUUUAUGUGCGUCCUGGCCCGUCGGCAGGCUCGCCUCGCCCGGUUUCUCGGACUUUGCGCCGAUGCCGGGUGCUUGGUGUGGCUGUUAGUCGACGGUGUCCUCGGACUGGCUAUUUACCGGUUCGCGACGCUACUGCUUUGGGUACUUUCAGGACCCGUCU
This 508-nucleotide ribosomal RNA is filed under the name Aphytis chrysomphali. RNAcentral describes it as "partial large subunit ribosomal RNA". Lineage: Eukaryota; Metazoa; Arthropoda; Insecta; Hymenoptera; Aphelinidae. The record is from RNAcentral.